This 408-nucleotide ribosomal RNA is filed under the name uncultured bacterium. Its description in RNAcentral is "partial 16S ribosomal RNA". It matches the Rfam family "Bacterial small subunit ribosomal RNA", at positions 28 to 526 of the family's 1533-position model. The record is from RNAcentral.
GACGAACGCUGGCGGCGUGCUUAACACAUGCAAGUCGAACGACGUGGCGAACGGGUGAGUAACGCGUAAUCAACCUGCCCUUCAGAGGGGGACAACAGUAGGCAACGACUGCUAAUACCGCAUACUGAAGGUGGGGAUUGCGUUGGAUUCGCUAGUUGGAGGGGUAACGGCCCAACAAGGCGAUGAUCAGUAGGCGGUCUGAGGGGGUGAACGGGCACAAUGGGACUGAGACACGGCCCAGACUCCUACGGGAGGCAGGAGUGGGGAAUCUUCCGCAAUGGACGAAAGGCUGACGGAGCAACGCCGCGGGAGGGAUGACGGCCUUCGGGUUGGAAAGCUCUGUUAAUCGGGACGCGGUACCGGAAUAGAAAGCCACGGCUAACUACGUGCCAGCCGCCGCGGUAAUAC